Non-coding RNA from Cricetulus griseus (Chinese hamster), 477 nucleotides. Lineage: Eukaryota; Metazoa; Chordata; Mammalia; Rodentia; Cricetidae. The record is from the annotation of a RefSeq genome assembly.
AUGAAGAUAUAUGUUCCCACUUUAUUUUUGUUCCUGUGGCUGCAGCUGGAUGGGCUGAGCCAAGGAGAGCAGGUGGAGCAGCUUCCUUCCACCCUGAGUGUCCAGGAGGGAGACAGCGCUGUCAUCAACUGCACUUACACAGACAGUGCAUCAGACUACUUCCCUUGGUAUAAGCAAGGAGCUGGAGAGCAUCCUAAACUCAUUAUUGACAUUCGAUCAACCAUGGAAAGAAAGCAGGACCAAAGACUGAUAGUUUUACAGGAUAAGAAAGCCAAACACUUCUCCCUGCACAUCACAGACACCCAGCCUGGGGACUCUGCCAUGUACUUCUGUGCUGCAAGUGCACACUGCUCCCCAGACACCUGCAGCCUGUCCUCAAACCUGCCACAGGGCCUGGAGCCCCAUCCACAUCCUGUGUCACAGGCCUUCCAGCAGCCAUUGUCAGUUAUUAGUUCACAAGUGCCAACUAUAGUGUAG